GGCUAAAAGUCGGAGGAAGUGGGGAUGACGUCAAAUCAUCAUGCCCCUUAUGACCUGGGCUACACACGUGCUACAAUGGGCGGUACAAAGGGUCGCGAACCCGCAGGGGAGCCAAUCCCAAAAAGCCGCUCUCAGUUCGGAUUGCAGGCUGCAACUCGCCUGCAUGAAGCCGGAAUCGCUAGUAAUCGCGGAUCAGCAUGCCCGCGGUCGAAUACGUUCCGGGCCUU
This 227-nucleotide ribosomal RNA is filed under the name uncultured Anoxybacillus sp. RNAcentral's name for it is "partial 16S ribosomal RNA". It matches the Rfam family "Bacterial small subunit ribosomal RNA", at positions 1154 to 1382 of the family's 1533-position model. The record is from RNAcentral. Lineage: Bacteria; Bacillati; Bacillota; Bacilli; Caryophanales; Anoxybacillaceae.